UACGAAGGGAGCAAGCGUUGUCCGGAAUCAUUGGGCGUAAAGCGCGCGUAGGUGGCUUCGUAAGUCCGUUGUGAAAGUCAAAGGCUCAACCUUUGAAAGCCGAUGGAUACUGCGGAGCUAGAGUACGGAAGAGGCGAGUGGAAUUCCUGGUGUAGCGGUGGAAUGCGCAGAUAUCAGGAGGAACACCAAUAGCGAAGGCAGCUCGCUGGGACGUUACUGACACUGAGGCGCGAAAGCGUGGGGAGCGAACAGG
This 253-nucleotide ribosomal RNA is filed under the name uncultured bacterium. Its description in RNAcentral is "partial 16S ribosomal RNA". It matches the Rfam family "Bacterial small subunit ribosomal RNA", at positions 524 to 776 of the family's 1533-position model. The record is from RNAcentral.